AAGGGUGGCUAUACCGCAUGUGGUGCCUCGUUCGCUCGAGUCACCAAAGCCGCAAGGCGCUUCGGGAGGGGCCUGCGUCCGAUUAGCUCGUUGGUGGGGUAAUGGCUCACCAAGGCGACGAUCGGUAGGUGGUCUGAGAGGACGAUCACCCAGACUGGGACUGAGACACGGCCCAGACUCCUACGGGAGGCAGCAGUCGGGAAUUUUGCUCAAUGGGCGAAAGCCUGAAGCAGCAACGCCGCGUGAGGGAUGAAGGCCUUCGGGUUGUAAACCUCUUUUCUCAGGGACGAUGAUGACGGUACCUGAGGAAGAAGCCACGGCUAACUACGUGCCAGCAGCCGCGGUAAUACGUAGGUGGCGAGCGUUGUCCGGAUUUACUGGGCGUAAAGAGCACGCAGGCGGUCGUUCAAGUCGAGUGUGAAAGCCCCUGGCUCAACUGGGGAGGGUCACUCGAUACUGAUCGACUCGAAGGCGGGAGAGGGAAGCGGAAUUCCCGGUGUAGUGGUGAAAUGCGUAGAUAUCGGGAGGAACACCAGUGGCGAAGGCGGCUUCCUGGCCCGUUCUUGACGCUCAUGUGCGAAAGCUAGGGUAGCAAACGGGAUUAGAUACCCCGGUAGUCCUAGCCGUAAACGACGGACACUAGGUGUUGGCGGUAUCAACCCCGCCAGUGCCGAAGCUAACGCAUUAAGUGUCCCGCC
Molecule: ribosomal RNA, 698 nt
Filed under: uncultured bacterium
Lineage: Bacteria
Description: bacterial SSU rRNA
Rfam family: Bacterial small subunit ribosomal RNA
Source: RNAcentral